AACCAAUGAACUUGAAUAAGUGUAUACUUUGAAAGUAUAAUAAAGAAAUAGAAAUUUUCUAUUGGUUU
RNAcentral lists this transfer RNA (68 nucleotides) under Meloe poggii. RNAcentral's name for it is "tRNA-Ser". Lineage: Eukaryota; Metazoa; Arthropoda; Insecta; Coleoptera; Meloidae. The record is from RNAcentral.